Molecule: unclassified non-coding RNA, 200 nt
Filed under: Humicola sp.
Lineage: Eukaryota; Fungi; Ascomycota; Sordariomycetes; Sordariales; Chaetomiaceae
Description: partial internal transcribed spacer 2
Source: RNAcentral
UUAAGUUCAGCGGGUCUUCCUACCUGAUCCGAGGUCAACCUUGGGUAAAUAAGGCUUUUAACGGCCGGAACCCGCAGCACGCCCUGAGCGAGAUGUAUUACUACGCUCGGAGUGACUAGCGAGCCCGCCACUUCCUUUCAGGGCCUACGGCAGCCGUAGGGCCCCAACACCAAGCCAGGCUUGAGGGUUGAAAUGACGCU